UACGGAGGUGGCAAGCGUUGCUCGGAAUCACUGGGCGUAAAGGGUGCGUAGGCGGCGUGGUAAGUCGGGUGUGAAAUCUCGGAGCUUAACUCCGAAACUGCAUUCGAUACUGCCGUGCUUGAGGACUGGAGAGGAGACUGGAAUUUACGGUGUAGCGGUGAAAUGCGUAGAUAUCGUAAGGAAGACCAGUGGCGAAGGCGGGUCUCUGGACAGUUCCUGACGCUGAGGCACGAAGGCCAGGGGAGCAAACGGG
Molecule: ribosomal RNA, 253 nt
Filed under: uncultured bacterium
Lineage: Bacteria
Description: partial 16S ribosomal RNA
Rfam family: Bacterial small subunit ribosomal RNA
Source: RNAcentral